GCCAGCCUGGUGUAGUGGUUAGAGCACUGGACUAUGACUCUGGAGACCUGGAUUCGAAUUCUGGCUCUGUCC
Molecule: non-coding RNA, 72 nt
Organism: Phrynosoma platyrhinos (Desert horned lizard)
Lineage: Eukaryota; Metazoa; Chordata; Lepidosauria; Squamata; Phrynosomatidae
Source: the annotation of a GenBank genome assembly